This 34-nucleotide non-coding RNA is filed under the name Alexandrium minutum. The record is from RNAcentral. Lineage: Eukaryota; Dinophyceae; Gonyaulacales; Pyrocystaceae.
UUUUUUUUUUUUUUUUUUUUUUUUUUUUUUUUUA